RNAcentral lists this transfer RNA (81 nucleotides) under Acaryochloris sp. CCMEE 5410. RNAcentral describes it as "tRNA-Leu". It matches the Rfam family "tRNA". From Rfam's summary of the family: Transfer RNA (tRNA) molecules are approximately 80 nucleotides in length. Their secondary structure includes four short double-helical elements and three loops (D, anti-codon, and T loops). Further hydrogen bonds mediate the characteristic L-shaped molecular structure. tRNAs have two regions of fundamental functional importance: the anti-codon, which is responsible for specific mRNA codon recognition, and the 3' end, to which the tRNAs corresponding amino acid is attached (by aminoacyl-tRNA synthetases). tRNAs cope with the degeneracy of the genetic code in two manners: having more than one tRNA (with a specific anti-codon) for a particular amino acid; and 'wobble' base-pairing, i.e. permitting non-standard base-pairing at the 3rd anti-codon position. RNAcentral also lists the same sequence under 9 other names. The record is from RNAcentral. Lineage: Bacteria; Bacillati; Cyanobacteriota; Cyanophyceae; Acaryochloridales; Acaryochloridaceae.
GGGCGGGUGGCGAAAUGGUAGACGCACCACACUCAAAAUGUGGCGACUUCGGUCAUGAGAGUUCGAGUCUCUCCCUGCCCA